Molecule: long non-coding RNA, 4660 nt
Organism: Parambassis ranga (Indian glassy fish)
Lineage: Eukaryota; Metazoa; Chordata; Actinopteri; Ambassidae
Product: microtubule associated serine/threonine kinase 3
Source: Ensembl
AGUCACAUGGAGGUUAUCGGUCGCUCCCUCGGUUUUGUGGCACAGUCGUUCUCCGGUGCGCCUCGCUGACGGACGAGAAGCGAAACACUCAAUCCUUCCGGGUGCGCUCUUACAGUGUUUUAGACCGAACUACGUUGUUUUUUUUCUUGCGGAAAAUCUCUACAAAAGCCGCCGGUAAACGAUACUCUGCUCAAAGUGGUUAUUUUUAGUCACCGAGGCAGCGAUGAGUGUCUGGAAGCCGGCUGUGACAGCGAGCGGUGCCGCGCUGUGGUGAGAGAAGCUCCAGCUCGCCCAACCUGCAAGAAUGAAGUCGAGGCGAGACAAACUGAAGAUCCCCUCUCUGACUCUGGAUUUAUCACCCACUUGCCAGAGCCCCACCCUCCUGAGCCCAUGCAGUCCAUGCAGCCCCUGCAGCCCCUUACAAACACUUCAUCCCUGGAGCUGUCGCAGCAGCAACAGGAAGAGCCUUGGUGUCGGGACGCCCUCACCCACGCUGUCCCGGCCACUCUCCCCGCUCUCACUCCACACGGCUGCCAGCAGCCCUCUGGACAGCCCUCGAAAUGCAUCGACCAGUGCCUGCCUCAACUUUCCAUUCGCCCGAAGAGCUGAGGGCCGGCGAUGGUCUCUGGCCUCCCUGCCCUCGUCUGGCUAUGGAACCAAUCCACCGAGCUCCACUGUCUCGUCCUCUUCAUCAUCCCAGGAGCGUCUUCAUCAGCUUCCCUACCAGCCAACACAAGAUGAACUGCACUUCCUCUUCAAACACUUCCGCAGCACAGACAGCAUGACAGAUGAGGAUGGACGCCCCUCGCCUGUCAUACGACCUCGGUCCCGCAGCCUCAGCCCUGGGCGUUCAAGUGUCUCCUUCGAUAAUGAGAUAGUCAUGAUGAACCACGUUUACAGAGAGCGUUUUCCAAAGGCCACAGCCCAGAUGGAGGAACGCUUGUUAGAGAUAGUCACCCACUAUUCUCCAGACAGCUCCCUCCCGCUGCCUGACGGGGUACUGGGCUUCAUCCAGCACCAGUUGGUGGAGCUGGUCAGAGACUGUCUGGAUAAGUCUCAGAAAGGUCUGGUUACUUCCCGCUACUUUGCUGAGCUGCAGGAAAAGCUGGAAAAGCUGUUUCAUGAGGCCUACGAGCGCUCUGAAAGCGAGGAGGUAACUGUCAUCACCCAGCUGGUUAGGAAGAUCCUCAUCAUAAUCUCUCGGCCGGCUCGCCUCCUUGAAUGUCUGGAGUUUGACCCGGAAGAGUUUUAUCACCUACUUGAAGCAGCAGAGGGUCAUGCCAAAGUCGGCCAGGGAAUUAAGACGGACAUCCCGCGCUACAUCAUCAGCCAGCUCGGCCUGACGCGGGACCUGUUGGAAGAUAUGGUACAGCUGGAACAGUAUGAUACCAGUCCUACAGUUUCGAACAAGGCUCCACAGACGCUGACUCCAACUCGAAGAAAACCACUGGAAAGCGAUUUUGAGACCAUCAAACUUAUUAGUAACGGAGCUUAUGGGGCCGUGUAUCUGGUCCGUCACAAGGAGACUCGUCAGCGAUUUGCCAUGAAAAAGAUAAAUCGUCAGAACCUGGUGCUAAGGAAUCAGAUUCAGCAGGCAUUCGUGGAGCGGGACAUCCUAACCUUUGCUGAGAACCCUUUUGUUGUCUCCAUGUUCUGCUCUUUUGAGACACGGCGUCAUCUUUGCAUGGUCAUGGAGUAUGUAGAAGGUAAACAAAAGCUUUUUUUCUCACAGAUUACACAUACAUAUAUAAUCUUUUUUUGUCUUUUGCCACUUGACAGUUUGCUGAUAACCUCCAUGGGUCACAUCAAGCUGACAGAUUUUGGCCUGUCUAAAAUUGGACUGAUGAACAUGACCACCAACCUGUACGAAGGUCACAUUGAGAAAGACACAAGAGAAUUUGUUGACAAACAGGUAUGUGGCACUCCAGAGUACAUUGCUCCAGAGGUGAUCCUUAGGCAGGGCUAUGGGAAGCCAGUGGACUGGUGGGCAAUGGGGGUCAUUCUUUAUGAGUUUCUGGUUGGCUGUGUUCCAUUUUUUGGAGACACCCCUGAAGAGCUUUUUGGACAAGUUGUUAGUGAUGAAAUAAUUUGGCCAGAAGGAGACGAUGCCCUACCUACUGAUGCACAGGACCUGAUUACUCGUCUGCUGAGGCAGAACCCUUUAGACCGAAUUGGAACAGGUGGAGCCUCAGAGGUGAAGCAGCAUCCUUUCUUCCUGGGUUUAGACUGGAAUGGACUUCUCCGACAGAAAGCAGAGUUCAUCCCUCAGCUGGAGGCGGAGGAUGACACCAGCUAUUUUGACACUCGGUCAGAACGCUACCAUCAUUUGGCAUCUGAUGAGGACGAAGAAACCAAUGAUGAAGAGUCUUCCCUAGAAAUUAGACAGUUUGCUUCCUGGUCACAUCGCUUCAGUAAGGUUUACAGCAGCACAGAACAUCUGGCAACACCUUCCAACUUGAGCUUCUCAUCAGACCGCAGUCACAGUGAGGACAAGGAGGACCGCACAGAUACAGGAGGACAAGGCCCCUCCUCGAGCCCAGCAGAAAGGAAUGUUGAGCCCAGAAAUUCUGGACGCAUGGCCAGCCUUCGGCCUAGGGCCUCCUCCAGCUCCUCCCAGUCAGAGAGAAGCACCAGUCCUCUAGUGAUGACCAGCACUCACAGUCUGGAGACAAUGCCACGUUUUGCCCUCUCCACUGAUGAUGAAGCUGAGGUGGUGGUGUCAAACCUUCGGAGAAUCAGAAUUCGGAGCAACAGCACUGGGGCUAAACACUCAUCCCCUAAGGACCCAGCAGGCCCUCGGCGCUUCGGUAACCAGCUGGAAACACCAGACAGGCAGAGGCUUCCCUGUGGAGGAAAGGUUCCAAAGUCAGCCUCUGUCUCUGCAUUGUCUCUCAUCAUUACUACAGAUGACUCUCCCAGUGGCCUCCAGCCCAGUCCCAUUUCGCCACGUUCACUUUCUUCCAACCCCUCAUCUCGUGACUCGUCCCCUAACCGAGAUCUGUUCUUCAGCCCCGGCAGCCUCAGGCCACCAAUCGUCAUCCACACCUCAGGGAAGAAGUACGGCUUCACCCUGCAGGCCAUCCGGGUCUACAUGGGUGACAGUGAUGUGUACACUGUGCAUCAUAUGGUGUCGAGUGUGGAGGAGGGCAGCCCAGCUCACCAGGCAGGUCUCUGCACUGGAGACCUCAUCACCCACGUGAACGGAGAGUCUGUCCAAGGCCUGGUCCACCCAGAGAUGAUAGAACUGCUACUGAAGAGUGGCAGCAAGGUGGCUCUGCAGACCAUAGCACUGGAGAACACGUCAAUCAAAGUUGGCCCAGCUCGAAAAACCAAACACAAAGGCAAGAUGGCACGUCGCAGCAAGAAGAGCAAGAGGAGAGAUAAUUACGACAGGCGACGGAGUAUCUUAAAGAAGUUAUCCAAGCAGAGUACAGUGAUGCACAGCAGUCGCAGCUUCUCCUCAGGCCUCCAUCACUCAGUUUCCUCCAGUGAGAGUCUUCCAGGCUCCCCGACACACAGCCUCUCCCCUGGUCCUUCCACACCCUGUCGGAGCCCUGCACCUGACCAUCAGGACAACACUCCUUGCUCUCCUCAGAGCACAUCUCCUUGCUCCAGCUCUCCUAGCUCCCCUGCUGCACACAUCCGGCCCAGCUCGCUCCAUGGCCUGGGAUCCAAACUCAGCACGCAACGCUACACCAAGGUUGGCCGUCGGAAGUCGACCAGUAACAUCCCUCCAUCCCCGUUGGCCUGCAACUCCUCCUCAUCUUCUAACCAGCCUCUUUCCCCAGCCUGGCAGCCAGGCAGUGGGGAGCGCUCACCGUCCCCACUUCCAGGCUUUGCCAAAACUCUUCACACCUUCCAUGGCAAAACCCUGUCACCACCCACCAUUGUUAGACAUGUUGUUCGGCCCCGCAGUGCUGAACCACCCCGGUCUCCACUGCUCAAGAGGGUGCAGUCAGCUGAGAAGCUGUCUGGAGUUUAUCAUGUUGACAAGAAGUCAUACGCUCCCCGCAGACACACACUGGAAGUGCCCUUUUACUGUGAAGGUGACCUGCUGGGUGACUCCGAGGUAGAGGGGGCUUUUGGGUGCUCCUACAUUGGGGCUGACCACACCAGACUGGGGUGCUACAUAAGCAGUCAAAGGAUAGAACGGUCAGAGCAGCUAGUUGUGAUGCGGAAGCUCAACCUAUCAGAGCGGCGAGACUCCUUUAAGAAGCAAGAGGCAGUGCAGGAGGUGAGCUUUGAUGAGCCAGAGGAGAAAAAUGGCACCACAGUGACCACCGCAGCCCCAGGAGCCCAAACACAGUGUCAGCAGCAGCACAGGAUAGCCUGGAUGGCCACUCGACCCCAGAGCAGCCAGGAGGUGGAGCUGGAAGUCCCGGUGGUGAGGAGGUUUACAUUGGUGCCCCAAAUCGCCGUGCAGGGCUCAACAGAAAGUGAGGAGCAGGAUGAGUGGGAGCCAUGCUCAGAUGGAGAGGAAUCCACUGAUAGGCCUGAGCUGGAGGUGAGCAUCACUUCAAUUCAGCAGCAGCAAACAGGACAUCCUCUUGCUGACAGCAGCUGCAGUGAGGCAGAAACCACUUCCUCUGGUCCUGCACCAGCAUCAGAGAAACCUGAGUGCAGAGAGGAAAUGCCCCAAAAAGGGCCUUUGAGAAAAUGA